RNAcentral lists this RNase P RNA (425 nucleotides) under Paramesorhizobium salinisoli. Its description in RNAcentral is "Phyllobacterium salinisoli RNase P RNA component class A". It matches the Rfam family "Bacterial RNase P class A". Rfam says of the family: Ribonuclease P (RNase P) is a ubiquitous endoribonuclease, found in archaea, bacteria and eukarya as well as chloroplasts and mitochondria. Its best characterised activity is the generation of mature 5'-ends of tRNAs by cleaving the 5'-leader elements of precursor-tRNAs. Cellular RNase Ps are ribonucleoproteins. Lineage: Bacteria; Pseudomonadati; Pseudomonadota; Alphaproteobacteria; Hyphomicrobiales; Phyllobacteriaceae. The record is from RNAcentral.
UCAGUUGGCCGGGCAGCCGCGCCUGUCAUAUGCCGAAAGGCGGCAGGCGAGGAAAGUCCGGGCUCCAUGGAAACACGAUGCCGGGUAACGCCCGGCGGGGGUGACCCCAGGGAAAGUGCCACAGAAAGCAGACCGCCCCGUCUUCCGUUAUGCCAAAAACCGGGCAUAAGGGAUGACGGGGUAAGGGUGAAAGGGUGGGGUAAGAGCCCACCGCGUCUCCGGUAACGGCGACGGCACGGUAAACCCCAUCGGGAGCAAGACCGAAUAGGGACGGCGUGCCGGGUGAAAGCCCGGCGAUCUGUUUCCGGAUCAGUCGUCCGGGUAGGUUGCAAGAGGCGGGUGGCGACAUCCGUCCCAGAUGAAUGGCUGCCACGUUGGACGCAAGUCCAGCCAUACAGAACCCGGCUUACAGGCCAACUGACAUU